UAGUGCUAGGACAUUAGAGAGCUUUAAGAGAAGAUUAGACGGGUUUAUGGAUGGGGAUGAUAGCUGGAAAUAGGUAGGUAUAUUUCAUACAGGGUACUGCCACGUGUAAGCCUGGUGGCUCCUUGUAGCUUCCCUUAUUUCUUGUUCUUAUGUUCUUGAAACCAUCUAAUAUCUUUAGUAUUCAGCACUUACCUACAUAUACCUAAAUAUAAUUAAUUGUCCUCAUGUUACCAUUAGAAACCAUUUGACAUCAAUAAGGAAACAAUUUGAGGUGAUAAAACAGAUACAAGCAUGAACAUAUAUUCAUUGUCUUCAUUACGGGAACCAAUCUACCACCUGACAAUCUAUUACAUGAUUAUAACCAACCAUCUAAGAAAUAUUGGAUAUCACAAGGAAAUCAGUAUUAUAAGUAACGCUGGAAGAGGCAAAAUAACGCUACAUGCCCACGCGUGCCCACGUUAACAAACCACCAGGUGUUAAAAUUCCUUAGCAUUGUUAUUGUCAGACGAAAUAUAAUAAGAUUAAAAAGUAUAAAAAUAGAUAAAAUAUAAAAUAAAUUAAAUCUCACAUGUCAGUUUGUUUGAAAAAAUAAAUAAAUAAAAAUAAAAAGUAUUGUAACAUGUCAAUCAUAGAAAUGUCAAACCGUGGAAAAGGAGAAACACCGCCGCUGCGCCGCACAACGCGGCGCUCCCACUGCUGCGUGGUUGGUGGUUGCCUCGUGUAGCCCUUGCCCCGCUUGUGAAAUCCAGUUGGAUCUACUUUGCCUAUGCUGCAAAAACAAGAGGAUGAAGGGAGAGAGAACAAGGAAGAGGAACACAAUACCUCAAAGACUGUCUGGAGAGAAAAACUGCCGCAACAGAACCAGAAAAUUUAAUAAAAAUAAAUGCAAUAGAAAUUACAGGAAAGUCUUAAAUGAGCUCUUAGGGCGCAUUCACAUGGUCAAACACUGUCUAUCAGACAAACACCGUUAACCAUAUCGCAAGAUGAAGUAGGAUGACAUCAUAAGUGUUGAAAUGAGGGAGGUUGAUAUGGCAACAAAGUGGUACCAGAUUAAAUUGUACACCAUAAUUUCUAUUCCAUUCACCAGGCAAAGACCAGCGGACAAUCUUCGAAGCUGGUGUCCACUGGCAACACAGGUAUUUAAAGUCAGUGUUAGUUUGGGCUCGAGAGACAGGUGGUUGCUGCUGGUGUGGUACAUCAUAACCGUGGUGUACAAUAAGAUAAACAAAACCAUGUUGACAGGGCAGGAGACCCAAUCAAUUAAUAGCUUCAGUUCGUCUGAUAAAUAAGUAAAUUCAUCCUGUGCCUGGUAAGGUCGUAUUUCCACGUCUCUGUCCCACCAGACAGUGUCUAAGGUUCUGAAACUAUGAAUGUGGGGUGCUCGCUACUGACGUCAUGAGAGCUCCAUUCUGCUUCCCAUUGUUAACUGGUAAAGUCCUUUCCACACAAGGGGCAAAUGCACAGCAGGCAGACACUGUUACCAAUUUUGUGGUAUGGGUGGCGAUCAUGAGUGUAGAUGAUACCAUAGAUGGGGAACCACAGGCAAACCAUCUAAGUGCCUGUCCUUGUUGUUGAGGCACUGGAUGGGUGCCUGACUAGGGACCACGUUGCCUGACACACGAUGUUACAAGUCAACAUUAUGCCCUCCAUGGGUAUCUAUCAAUUGUAGACCAGAUGGAGUGAAAUCAUGUCUGUACAAAUGGUCAUGGUUAAGUGGGUAAGGGAAGCAAUCAGGCAUUUGAUAGAUUUGUACAGAGAGGAACCGUGUCUGUGGAAUGUCAAGACUGUGGAAUAUAGAAAUAGAGACAGAAAGGCCACAACACUGCAGAAAAUAGCAGAACACAUGAACAGUGGUGGUUGGUCAUUCUCUGCUGAAGAUGUGAGAAAGAAGAUUGAUACACUGCGAAACCAGCAUCAGUGAGAACGUAGGCAUGUGCAACAAUCAGUGAAGAUGGGGGCAGGGGCAAACAAGGAGCAAGAAGCUUUUUGUGGAGCAUAAAUUCUUCCAAGAUAUGAUACAAAUGACAAGAAUUUGUUGUAAGAACCGUUAGUGUUCAUAUUCUGGAAUUCAAAGUCCCAGUCAAUAGUAGACAAGAAUUGGUUAAUUUGUUUGAAAUUAGCCUUGGGGAUUCAGAUUCAAUAUUUGACAUCAAAAGUUUGAACUGAAAAAUAUAGCCAAAAAGUAUAACACAGUGAUCACAAUUUGGAAAUGGAGGAAGAACAUUAGAGGAAACUACUCUAUCAGUUUCUGUGGUAAAAAAUAGAUCUAGAGUACUGCUUGCCCUGAUAUUUGUUGGCUCAUGAAUCCACUGAGUAAGGCCUAGAGAGAUAAAACAAUCCAGGAAAAGCUUAUCAGUAUGAGAUACUGCAUUAAUACUUACUCCUCCAAGUGACCAAGAAAUUGAAGGAAGAUUAAAAUCCCUCAUCACUAUUACUUCCCUGUUAGUGCAAAAAUCUGCUAGGAAAUCUGUAAGUGCAUUGUUGUCAUAGAAGGAGUAGGAGGGAGGUCUACAAACAACUACAAUGAAUAAUUUGUAAUCUGGAAGAAAAACUGAGCAAACAUUAGGUAUUUUGAUGUUCAUAUUGAGACACCAGUAGGAAUUAUGUACAUAAGUGCCAACUCCAUGUUUGCAAACUGAACCAGAAACAUAAUUUCUUAAUAUAUUGUAGUUAUGAAUUGAAACUGCACCAACUGGGAAAGAACUAAUUAACCAUGCUGCCUGCUGGAUUCAUACCUACUGGGUGGUGAUUGUAACUAUAAUACUGCUAAUAAGGGCUGUGUCAGGCCACAGAGGCCACAUGGCACUACAUAUGUUUAGAAUACAGUGACACUGAGGCUGUAGUUGAUCGAUUUAAUUUAUGGUGCCGCAACAUCACGGUCAUAUGGCGUGAUGCUGUAGUUAUAUUUUAUACCAAGUGAAGAGUAUGGGUGAGGGAUAGAAAGAGCAUUAAGUUUGGUAGAGCGAAACAAAGAAACACAGGAAGUCAGUAAGAUAUCAGAAAGAUAAAGGAUGGGUGACGAGAGGGAUGGUAGUGGGGGCAGAAGUGGUGGUGUGAGAGACUAUGGGAAACAAAUUCACUCACUCAAACACACAACAACAAUAACAACCAGGCAGGAACAGUGACAGGGCAGGUGGUGAGCUGCAGUAGGCUCGCUCGUCACCCCACACACCCAUGCUUCCACACUUCCCCUCCACACACAUGAAUAAUCUCAUUACACAAACUUAUCUAUCAUUUACCACUUAUCUAUGCAAAAAUCAGUCCAAUAGUGUGUUCGUUACUCCUGGAAAACACUAAAUUACGCUAAAUAUUGAUGGAGACACACUGGAAAGUCUGAUGACGUCAUGCCAGCUGAUGCGGUCACACGAACCGUUAUACAUGUCCGUUGU
Long non-coding RNA from Scylla paramamosain (green mud crab), 3389 nucleotides. RefSeq lists it as uncharacterized. NCBI's taxonomy places the organism in Eukaryota, Metazoa, Arthropoda, Malacostraca, Decapoda, Portunidae. The transcript is spliced from 2 exons. The record is from RefSeq and is a predicted model, not a curated record.